CAGGGGGUCCUCCCGGCUCUGAGGGGUGGGGGAUGGUUCAUGCUGCCUUUCUGGAAGUCGGUCUGUAACGUGCUUCCAGAGCCUUAGUCAGGCACAACCUUUGAUCCCUUCCAAACGUCAGCGGUGGGACC
RNAcentral lists this microRNA precursor (131 nucleotides) under Equus caballus (horse). Its description in RNAcentral is "microRNA eca-mir-9007 precursor". Lineage: Eukaryota; Metazoa; Chordata; Mammalia; Perissodactyla; Equidae. The record is from miRBase by way of RNAcentral.